Molecule: ribosomal RNA, 451 nt
Filed under: uncultured bacterium
Lineage: Bacteria
Description: partial 16S ribosomal RNA
Rfam family: Bacterial small subunit ribosomal RNA
Source: RNAcentral
AGCGAACGCUGGCGGCAGGCCUAACACAUGCAAGUCGAACGGGCACCUUCGGGUGUCAGUGGCAGACGGGUGAGUAACACGUGGGAACGUGCCCUUUGGUUCGGGACAACUCCGGGAAACUGGAGCUAAUACCGGAUAAGCCCUUCGGGGGAAAGAUUUAUCGCCAAAGGAUCGGCCCGCGUCUGAUUAGCUAGUUGGUGAGGUAAUGGCUCACCAAGGCGACGAUCAGUAGCUGGUCUGAGAGGAUGAUCAGCCACACUGGGACUGAGACACGGCCCAGACUCCUGCGGGAGGCAGCAGUGGGGAAUAUCGGACAAUGGGCGCAAGCCUGAUCCAGCCAUGCCGCGUGAGUGAUGAAGGCCCUAGGGUUGUAAAGCUCUUUUGUGCGGGAAGAUAAUGACGGUACCGCAAGAAUAAGCCCCGGCUAACUUCGUGCCAGCCGCCGCGGUAA